This 310-nucleotide unclassified non-coding RNA is filed under the name Hevea brasiliensis (rubber tree). The record is from RNAcentral. Lineage: Eukaryota; Viridiplantae; Streptophyta; Magnoliopsida; Malpighiales; Euphorbiaceae.
AGAACUAAACCCUAAUUCUUCGUUUGUCUGCUGAGGAACUCCAUGAAAAGUGAAAAAAGAUCGAAAUAAAAAAUCUUCCCUAAUAACAUGACUGUUCGGGUCAAUCCAUAUUGAGAAGAUGAAAAAACAGCAACCAGAAGUUCUCCCCCGUUUUUCUUUCAAUUUUUUUUCUUAGGAACCAAACAGAAAUCAGUGAAAGAAAAUGGAAACACAAUCUGAAGACGUAGUUUAUAGAUUUCAGAAUUAGACAAAUAAAUUCAAUGGAAAUUAAAAUUUUAGAGAUUUCUGUUGAACUAAGAAAUGACAACCA